UACGGGGGGGGCAAGCGUUGUUCGGAAUUACUGGGCGUAAAGGGCUCGUAGGUGGCCAACUAAGUCAGACGUGAAAUCCCUCAGCUUAACUGGGGAACUGCGUCUGAUACUGGAUGGCUUGAGUUUGGGAGAGGGAUGCGGAAUUCCAGGUGUAGCGGUGAAAUGCGUAGAUAUCUUGAGGAACACCGGUGGCGAAGGCGGCAUCCUGGACCAACACUGACACUGAGGAGCGAAAGCCAGGGGAGCAAACGGG
This 253-nucleotide ribosomal RNA is filed under the name uncultured bacterium. RNAcentral describes it as "partial 16S ribosomal RNA". It matches the Rfam family "Bacterial small subunit ribosomal RNA", at positions 524 to 776 of the family's 1533-position model. The record is from RNAcentral.